Molecule: transfer RNA, 68 nt
Filed under: Ichthyophis bannanicus
Lineage: Eukaryota; Metazoa; Chordata; Amphibia; Gymnophiona; Ichthyophiidae
Description: tRNA-His
Rfam family: tRNA
About the family: Transfer RNA (tRNA) molecules are approximately 80 nucleotides in length. Their secondary structure includes four short double-helical elements and three loops (D, anti-codon, and T loops). Further hydrogen bonds mediate the characteristic L-shaped molecular structure. tRNAs have two regions of fundamental functional importance: the anti-codon, which is responsible for specific mRNA codon recognition, and the 3' end, to which the tRNAs corresponding amino acid is attached (by aminoacyl-tRNA synthetases). tRNAs cope with the degeneracy of the genetic code in two manners: having more than one tRNA (with a specific anti-codon) for a particular amino acid; and 'wobble' base-pairing, i.e. permitting non-standard base-pairing at the 3rd anti-codon position.
Source: RNAcentral
GUAAAUAUAGUUUAAAAAAACAUUAGAUUGUGAUUCUAAAAACAGAAACUAAUAACUUCUUAUUUACC